CUAUUUGCUAUUUCAAUAAACGAAUAUCAAGUGCUGAUGUAGAGUACAGGUUUUUAUUUCCCGGGGGACAGGUGUUUGGCAAUGUAUAAGGAGUUACAAAAGAUUGAAUGGAAUAAUUGGGGCAAGUGUAUUCCUACUGUAUAUACUACCUAGCCAUAGUUGUACAGUCUAUUCCCACUUUUGCCUAGCUGGCCUCACAGUUAAGUCCCAGCAAAUUUAUUUUGAUGGGACUGUCUCCAUGUAUCUAGAAUACUGUUUUGUUGUGCACAGCUCCUAAACUUGCCUAUAAGUGUAUUGAACUUAGGUAACUUCAUUUAACCAAGUGAUAGAGCAUCAGCGCCCUGAUUCCUAAAAUAGUCUGAAUUUAUCUUAAUCAAAUUGUGCUCCAUGAGGAGCUUUCUUCUAACAGCUGUAGAACAUGAUGCCAUCCAUAGCUCUGAAAUGAGAAAGAAUGUCCUUUACUAGAAAUGGAAUUUGUGUAUUGUCUGAGAAUGUUGCUUUUCUCUUGUAAUAUAAAAUAGAGACUAUGUUCCUCUCAAAUUUGGAGAUGGUGGAACCGGAUUUUAUGCAAGACAUUGCAUUUUGUGUCCACAUCAAACUCUACAAACUUUAAUUCUCUGCAUACCAGUAUCUGGAUGACUUCGUUUCAAAUGCCUUUUUCUUCUAGGUACUCAGUCAAAUAUCACUGUUCAUUUCAAAAGGCAUGCAUUUUGUUCCUUCGAGUAUUCCAAAUGUAUUCCUUAUUUUGCCACUUCUAAGUUUCCCUUCUGUAAGGGCUUCCCAAUGUGUUUCUCUUUUGAUAGUACGCAAUAUUUAAUAGUUCUAGCUCUAAAAGUCCAACGUUCAUCUUUUUCUUGUUGCCUGUACCCCCUUCCCAUCCCUACUGUGAUGUCCAUGAUCCUGCUUGGGCCAUAAAUUUUCUUCUAGUUUGUUUAGUCAUAGAUGUUCCCUAAAUUAAAGCAAAACUAGUCUAAGGUAGAAAUGUUAUCAUCAUGUAUUAGCUGAUUUAACCCAUUUGUCUUUGAGUGCAACUUUGGAAACACGUGGUUAACAGCAGAAACCUAGUUUUCCUAAAAAUAAAGCUUUUUUUCCUAGCAGCUGUCAUGAAAGGCAUUCUUUCUCAUUUUAUUGAAGUUACACUGUCACUAAGUGUACUCUCCUCUCAUCCUUUUUUUUUCCUUUUUACCAUUUUUAUUCUUUCUUCUGAUUUUCUUUAAAGUCUAUAGCUUCUACCCUCUGUUCUACCUCUACCCACCAAGCCCCCUACAUAUUACAGAGGGUUCAUUUUAAUAAUGGCAGUGAUCUUGGUUAAGCUGUCUUUUCCAAUCUUUUAAAAAACCUUUUACCAGUCCUUUUUGGAAUAAUACCAAAAAGAAUUAAGAGCUUUUAUUCAGCCCUUUCAGUUAGAAGCAGACUCAGUUUUUAGGAACCCCAGGUUAUCCUCACGUGCUCUCUUUACCUAUCCCAGCAUUGUUUGAGCCUCAACUCAUUUAUUGAUGUUUGAGUCUUUUGCAGAAAGUUGUAUAAGAAGUUAUAUAUUCUAACACUCUUUCUAUUUGGCUUUGCUAUUUCUGUAUAAUGCCUCAUACUAACUAUCAACUGUCCGACUGGUGACUUUGAAUUAGUGGGUAUGAUCUAUAGGAUAGAUAGUACCUUUUUGCAUGUUUUCCUCCUUAUCGCCCAGAUCAAUUUUGCAGAUGGUAUGUAUUUUCUAAUGUAAAUUUACCCCUUCAGAAUUGGGUUGUUGGCAAUAAUAGGAACUGUGUUAUAAGCUGGGUGAGAAAGGUUUAAGAAAAAUGGACUGGAAUUAAUCCAAAGAGUUCUUAAAUAAGCCAGUCAUCAGAAGUUCUUUCCAGUUCAGGAGGGGGAAGUUAAGGGCAGAAAGGAAGAACCGUAUUCCUAAGAAGAAAUCUGUGGGUUCAACUACCAGCUCAACACCAAGUUGUGCUAUUUCUGCUUCCCACUUGUACCAGUUUUAUCUGAAAAAAUAGCAGUGGAAAAUGAGGAGCCAUUUUGAAAAAAUAUGGUAGUAUGAGGAAUUAUGAUCCUUGUCCUUUAUAAUGUUUUAGGCUAUCAAGCUGCUUUCCUAUGUGCUGAUUUUUUUUCUUCCCAACAAUGCUGGUUGGACAGAGAACAAUGUUCCCAUCUUACUAGUGAGGAAGCUGCAGAUUGGCAAAUAUAGCAAAUGAUUUGCUCCCAUUCCCACAGCAAGUCAACCCAUCUUAUACUAAAACAGGUAAUAUCUGCAGACUGCUGAAUGCAUUUCUGUGCCAUAAACUGACUUAGAAUGUUUUAUUGAGUGGGAAUUAUGUCAGGCCUAGUCUAAGAAUAAUAUAAAACCUACUUAUUGUACACAAAAUAUGUUUCUAAAGUAUUUCGUUUCCACUGUUUAUUUUAGCCAGUUAUUUUUUUUAAUGCAUACUUUGGAAGGUCUGCACUAAUUGCCAGGACUUCUGUAUUAGGGCUUAGAGUAAUGAAAUUCUAUUUUUGCCCCUGUUAAAAAAAAAAUCCUUUUUAAAGAAUAUCCCUAAACUACUGAUACAAAGGGAAACUUCCUAAAUAAUAACUACUUUUGAAAAAGUGUUUUAAAGACCAAGGUCAGCAACACAUAAUUGAAAUUUGGUUUUGUAGAUUGAAAUGCAAUUUACUUAAAAAUAAAGUGAAUGCAAGUUUCUUGAAGGGAAUGUGCUGGGUAAUCUAUUGUAGUUCCCAGAUACUCUCGGUAAAAAUGUAAAAUUAUUGACCUCUCUGAGAUAGCUCUGUCUCCCACUUAUUUGAAUUGGUUUUAUUUUGUUUUCCCACUUUUCCAGCCACAUAAGAUCUCUGGGUGACAGUUUAAGCAUACCUUUGCCCAGAGGGUUAAGAAAAAUAAUGAGAUGUAUUUGUACAGUUUUUAGUAAGCUCUUUAUAAAUAUAAAGAGAUAGGAAAUUUGGGCUAUUUCAUCAGUAUUUUAGGAGUUACUAAUGAAAAAUGUAGAUCAGAUUGCCCUCACUAAUGCCUCUUUGUGAUAUUAAAAAAAAUAAAUGACUGACUGCAUAGGACUUUACAAAAAGAGCUCUUCAAAAAAACACAAGGACAUACGGUCAUUUUUUUAACUUUUAUAACGAUAGGUGCUUUAAGAGAAGUAUUUUUCCAGAAUGGUUUUAUAGUAAACAUAAAGGGCAGCUUUUGCAUUGUAAUGUGUAGGUGGAUGGUCAUCUUUAGGUUACUAAGAAAUCAUGAAGUGUUCCCUAAGGAGAAACUCCAAAAACUUCUUGGCAGGAAGAAAAAGCAUCGGUUUCUGUUUUUUUCAUUUUCUCUUAUGCUACGAGUUAACCUCCCAAGGAGAUUCACAUGUAUAUCAAUAUCUUGGUUCAAAGGAGAAGACUGAAUUUUUAUCAUUAGUGGGAGGAAAAUAUUCAUACUCUUCACCAAGGCAAAAUAGAAUAGUAUUGACUUCCCAAUAGAGAAAUAGCAAUUUCACAAAUAAUAUCCUAUCUCUAGCUGACCUCUUCUCUCUUGGGGGUGUAUUUACUAUUUAUCUUGUACUUUUUUUUUUUUUUUUCCUUUGGAGGAUUUUACCUAUUGCCGUCCUACUGUAUUAAAUAUCCUGUACCAUGAAAUAGGUCAGCAAGGAAAAGAUUUUAAAACCCCAUAAAUACCUGGUUUUGGUUCUUAACAUACGGGGGAAACAGUUUAAAGAAAAAGCACUUCAACAUGGAGAAGGGAAAGAGAUCAUCUGAAUCCUGAUGAUUUCAAUUCAGGAUCAACAUGUAGUGCUCUGCAUACAUGGGAACACUUACUAGCAGUACUUGAAGACUUGUGAGUUGGAAUUGCAUGUUACUUGAAAGACCUAAUUAAGCUAAAUUUUGGUGCACAGCAGUUGUACAUGAUUUCAUGUUUAUGUAGCAAAAUGAAAUGUACUAGUUUUGAAAUAUACAUGUACAGAUAGUUGUGAAAAUUGUCUAUUGUAUUUUCCUUGUGUGUCUCAUUUAUUUAGAGCAUAAAGUUUCUUUUUUUUUUAAAAAAAAAGUUGUUCUAACUGAAUAAGGCUAAAUGAAUACUGUAAUUGAAAUUAUAUUUUAAAUCUUGUCAUGAGUUUUUUAAAAAAAAAAAACUAUUGCAAAUUGUAUCAUUCCUGAUUACACAGAACUUUGUGGCUGGUUUUAAAUAAAUUUUAUACU
This 4164-nucleotide long non-coding RNA is filed under the name Sus scrofa (pig). RNAcentral's name for it is "lncRNA (ENSSSCG00000054537.1)". The record is from RNAcentral. Lineage: Eukaryota; Metazoa; Chordata; Mammalia; Artiodactyla; Suidae.